GAUGAAGAACGUAGCGAAAUGCGAUAAGUAAUGCGAAUUGCAGAAUUCCAGUGAGUCAUCGAAUCUUUGAACGCACAUUGCGCCCGCCAGUAUUCUGGCGGGCAUGCCUGUUCGAGCGUCAUUUCAACCAUCAAGCCCCCGGCUUGUGUUGGGGACCUGCGGCUGCCGCAGGCCCUGAAAACCAGUGGCGGGCUCGCUAGUCACUCCGAGCGUAGUAAUACAUCUCGCUCAGGGCGUGCUGCGGGUUCCGGCCGUUAAAAAGCCUUAUUUACCCAAGGUUGACCUCGGAUCAGGUAGGAAGACCCGCUGAACUUAAGCAUAUCAAUAAGCGGAGGA
RNAcentral lists this unclassified non-coding RNA (336 nucleotides) under soil metagenome. RNAcentral describes it as "partial contains 5.8S ribosomal RNA, internal transcribed spacer 2, and large subunit ribosomal RNA". The stretch from base 1 to 121 matches the Rfam family "5.8S ribosomal RNA", at positions 35 to 154 of the family's 154-position model. The record is from RNAcentral.